AGCAGCCGCGGUAAUUCCAGCUCCAAUAGCGUAUAUUAAAGUUGUUGCAGUUAAAAAGCUCGUAGUUGAAUUUCGGGGUUAGUAGGUCGGUCAUGCCACUGGUAUGUACUGGUCUCACUGAUUCCUCCUUCCUGAUGAACCGUAAUGCCAUUAAUUUGGUGUUGCGGGGAGACUGGACUGUUACUUUGAAAAAAUUAGAGUGUUUAAAGCAGGCUAACGCUUGAAUACAUUAGCAUGGAAUAAUGAAAUAGGACGUUCGAUCCUAUUUUGUUGGUUUCUAGGAUUGACGUAAUGAUUAAUAGGGAUAGUUGGGGGCAUUAGUAUUCAAUUGUCAGAGGUGAAAUUCUUGGAUUUAUUGAAGACUAACUACCGCGAAAGCAUUUGCCAAGGAUGUUUUCAUUAAUCAAGAACGAAAGUUAGGGGAUUGAAGACGAUCAGAUACCGUCGUAGUCUUAACCAUAAACUAUGCCGACUAGGGAUCGGAUGAUGUUAAUUUUUUAAUGACUCAUUCGGCGCCUUA
Molecule: ribosomal RNA, 520 nt
Filed under: uncultured Glomus
Lineage: Eukaryota; Fungi; Glomeromycota; Glomeromycetes; Glomerales; Glomeraceae
Description: SSU rRNA
Rfam family: Eukaryotic small subunit ribosomal RNA
Source: RNAcentral